This 74-nucleotide transfer RNA is filed under the name Peroryctes raffrayana (Raffray's bandicoot). RNAcentral's name for it is "tRNA-Leu". It matches the Rfam family "tRNA". From Rfam's summary of the family: Transfer RNA (tRNA) molecules are approximately 80 nucleotides in length. Lineage: Eukaryota; Metazoa; Chordata; Mammalia; Peramelemorphia; Peroryctidae. The record is from RNAcentral.
AUUAAGGUGGCAGAGACGGUAAUUGCAUAAAACUUAAGCCUUUAUAACCAGAGGUUCAACUCCUCUCCUUAAUA